UCCUUAACAAGUUGCGCUAAGCCCCAAUCCUGCCAACCUUCGUGCCCUCUCACAAUAUCGCUUUUUAUACCCGGUAGGUUAUCGAUUACACUUCUUGUCAUCCCAUUAACACGCUCUAGCUUGCCUAGAGUCUCUAAAGACUGUACGUUAUAUAAUAAAGUUUUGUAAAAUUUAUCUACCUCACUUGGGUUGGCAUCCUUGACAACAGGUAACUCCAAAAUAUUCUGCACGUAUGCAUUAACAAU
This is a non-coding RNA of Paramuricea clavata, 245 nucleotides long. The record is from the annotation of a GenBank genome assembly. Lineage: Eukaryota; Metazoa; Cnidaria; Anthozoa; Malacalcyonacea; Plexauridae.